This 235-nucleotide ribosomal RNA is filed under the name uncultured bacterium. Its description in RNAcentral is "partial 16S ribosomal RNA". It matches the Rfam family "Bacterial small subunit ribosomal RNA", at positions 99 to 334 of the family's 1533-position model. The record is from RNAcentral.
CGGACGGGUGAGUAACGCGUGGGUAACCUGCCCUGUACAGGGGGAUAACAGUUAGAAAUGACUGCUAAUACCGCAUAAGACCACAGCACCGCAUGGUGCAGGGGUAAAAACUCCGGUGGUACAGGAUGGACCCGCGUCUGAUUAGCUAGUUGGUGAGGUAACGGCUCACCAAGGCGACGAUCAGUAGCCGGCUUGAGAGAGUGAACGGCCACAUUGGGACUGAGACACGGCCCAA